Molecule: ribosomal RNA, 1523 nt
Filed under: Triticum aestivum (bread wheat)
Lineage: Eukaryota; Viridiplantae; Streptophyta; Magnoliopsida; Poales; Poaceae
Description: partial small subunit ribosomal RNA
Source: RNAcentral
CCGGAGUCGUCGGCGGUACCGGCUGCCGCGGUUGGGUUUGGGCUGUAGGUGUGGGUCCGUCUUCCGUCAGGGUCUGACCGAGUUGUCGGGCUAGACCAGGCGGGGACGGGGAUCGGGCGCGGUGGCGAGAGGAGGGGCGCGGGGGAGGGGAGGGGGUGGAGGGGGAGGGUUCGGCGUCGUGCUAGGCUGGGGCGGCGGGGGAGCAGUUGGGCGCGCCGCGCUGCCACGUUCGAGACUGAGGCUGAGGCUGUCGCCGCCGCCGCUGCUCCCGCGCCGGUGGAGCAGAGCCUGGGUGGAGCAGCGGCUCAAGUUUCGCCGCGACCUUUCCUUCCACCACCUAGACCGCCUCGACGCCUCCGAGCGCACGGUCCCGCACGGACUGCUGGGGCGGCACGCCGGACAACAGACCUUCGAAGAGAACCCCAUGAACGGUUACCUAGUACGAGACACCCGCAUGCUUGACCUUUUUUUCGCCAGGGUCAUGUCACGAAAGUUUCUGCUCGAAAACCAAUUGGGAAGUCUUCAAUGGGCUUCUUACCUUUACUGAUAAAGUUUUUCCUUCCUUGUAUUAAGACUUCCUUGACCUAAAGAGGGUUCCCGCCUUUAGCAGGUCCUGCUUGUAGGAGAUUCGGAACCCUUUUGAUCACAAACCUUGGUUGUGAAGGUCCUUAGACUUUGACAUCUCGUCUAACUAUCUCUACAAUUCGCAUGAGUAGGACUCUACGUCAAAAAGUUACCGCCAAGAAGACUACGGAACAGAUUAGUCCUCAGUGACUUCGCUUAUGAAUGGUAGAAACGUUUUAAUUUGGGCCCAUAUUCUAUACAUGUUCCUUACUUACUUCAAAACCGUGGAGAGAUGAUACAGAAGUUCUUACUAGGUCUGGUUUCAUUAAGACGAAGUCGUCUCAGUCUACGAAAAAAGACAAAACAACUCCACGAUUCACCUAAAGCUCUAUUGAAAACGUUCGUCGAACUGUUGUCACAACAACCAUAUGCGAGGUGUUAGUCAUUUGAUAGGGUCGAGGACUUUUCCGUACUACUUCUCGAGACCGCCGUAAAUCUCCAGCAUUGGUUCCAAUUGGGUGUCAAGAUACGCAAGUCUACCUAGUGGGACGAUAACUGUGUCCUCAAAUUCAAGGCACUGACGUAGGUGGACACCCUACGCAAUAAUCCACUAGGUCUCCCCGGGGUCCGAUGGAACAAUUCCUAGACGACACGUUACGAUUAAGAACAAGCUUCUGCCGAGAACCGACCGCUGAAGUGACGUUUGGAGUUCGAAGAGGUCUUAAUGGGUGGGUGUUUGUAACUGGUGAACAAUGUAUAACGAUUAUUUAACGCACCCGAUCAAGGGACGACUUACUAAACGAGAAAAACAAAGGUUACAACAAAAAUACGAUCAGACGACAGGUCUCUACUACGUAAUUUAGACAUUUACUUAUAGGUAUGCGAGAAAAACUGGGUAACAAAUAGCACAUUACAUACGGACAAUUUCGAACAACAAGAAAAUCAUCAGUAUGUAAUCA